RNAcentral lists this unclassified non-coding RNA (200 nucleotides) under soil metagenome. RNAcentral describes it as "partial contains internal transcribed spacer 2 and large subunit ribosomal RNA". The record is from RNAcentral.
UGUUCGAGCGUCAUUACAACCCUCAAGCUUUGCUUGGUAUUAGGUAUCGCCGGUUAGGCGCGCCGUAAAGAUAGUGGCGGUGCCAUCUGGCUUCGAGCGUAGUAAAAUUCUCGCUUUGGAGGACCGGACAUGUGCCUGCCAGCAACCCCAAAUUUUCAAAGGUUGACCUCGGAUCAGGUAGGGAUACCCGCUGAACUUAA